AUUGAACGCUGGCGGCAGGCUUAACACAUGCAAGUCGAGCGGGGGAAGGUAGCUUGCUACUGGACCUAGCGGCGGACGGGUGAGUAAUGCUUAGGAAUCUGCCUAUUAGUGGGGGACAACAUCUCGAAGGGGAUGCUAAUACCGCAUACGUCCUACGGGAGAAAGCAGGGGAUCUUCGGACCUUGCGCUAAUAGAUGAGCCUAAGUCGGAUUAGCUAGUUGGUGGGGUAAAGGCCUACCAAGGCGACGAUCUGUAGCGGGUCUGAGAGGAUGAUCCGCCACACUGGGACUGAGACACGGCCCAGACUCCUACGGGAGGCAGCAGUGGGGAAUAUUGGACAAUGGGGGGAACCCUGAUCCAGCCAUGCCGCGUGUGUGAAGAAGGCCUUAUGGUUGUAAAGCACUUUAAGCGAGGAGGAGGCUACUUUAGUUAAUACCUAGAGAUAGUGGACGUUACUCGCAGAAUAAGCACCGGCUAACUCUGUGCCAGCAGCCGCGGUAAUACAGAGGGUGCGAGCGUUAAUCGGAUUUACUGGGCGUAAAGCGUGCGUAGGCGGCUUAUUAAGUCGGAUGUGAAAUCCCCGAGCUUAACUUGGGAAUUGCAUUCGAUACUGGUGAGCUAGAGUAUGGGAGAGGAUGGUAGAAUUCCAGGUGUAGCGGUGAAAUGCGUAGAGAUCU
Molecule: ribosomal RNA, 677 nt
Filed under: Acinetobacter baumannii OIFC189
Lineage: Bacteria; Pseudomonadati; Pseudomonadota; Gammaproteobacteria; Moraxellales; Moraxellaceae
Description: bacterial SSU rRNA
Rfam family: Bacterial small subunit ribosomal RNA
Source: RNAcentral